This 1346-nucleotide ribosomal RNA is filed under the name uncultured bacterium. Its description in RNAcentral is "partial 16S ribosomal RNA". It matches the Rfam family "Bacterial small subunit ribosomal RNA", at positions 28 to 1381 of the family's 1533-position model. The record is from RNAcentral.
GACGAACGCUGGCGGCGUGCUUAACACAUGCAAGUCGAACGGAAAGGCCCUGCUUUUGUGGGGUGCUCGAGUGACGAACGGGUGAGUAACACGUGAGUAACCUGCCCUUGACUUUGGGAUAACUUCAGGAAACUGGGGCUAAUACCGGAUAGGAGCUCCUGCUGCAUGGUGGGGGUUGGAAAGUUUCGGCGGUUGGGGAUGGACUCGCGGCUUAUCAGCUUGUUGGUGGGGUAGUGGCUUACCAAGGCUUUGACGGGUAGCCGGCCUGAGAGGGUGACCGGCCACAUUGGGACUAAGAUACGGCCCAGACUCCUACGGGAGGCAGCAGUGAGGAAUAUUGCACAAUGGGCGGAAGCCUGAUGCAGCAACGCCGCGUGCGGGAUGACGGCCUUCGGGUUGUAAACCGCUUUCGCCUGUGACGAAGCGUGAGUGACGGUAAUGGGUAAAGAAGCACCGGCUAACUACGUGCCAGCAGCCGCGGUGAUACGUAGGGUGCGAGCGUUGUCCGGAUUUAUUGGGCGUAAAGGGCUUGUAGGUGGUUGAUCGCGUCGGAAGUGUAAUCUUGGGGCUUAACCCUGAGCGUGCUUUCGAUACGGGUUGACUUGAGGAAGGUAGGGGAGAAUGGAAUUCCUGGUGGAGCGGUGGAAUGCGCAGAUAUCAGGAGGAACACCAGUGGCGAAGGCGGUUCUCUGGGCCUUUCCUGACGCUGAGGAGCGAAAGCGUGGGGAGCGAACAGGCUUAGAUACCCUGGUAGUCCACGCUGUAAACGGUGGGUACUAGGUGUGGGGUCCAUUCCACGGGUUCCGUGCCGUAGCUAACGCUUUAAGUACCCCGCCUGGGGAGUACGGCCGCAAGGCUAAAACUCAAAGGGAUUGACGGGGCCCCGCACAAGCGGCGGAGCAUGCGGAUUAAUUCGAUGCAACGCGUAGAACCUUACCUGGGUUUGACAUGGAUCGGGAGUGCUCAGAGAUGGGUGUGCCUCUUUUGGGGUCGGUUCACAGGUGGUGCAUGGCUGUCGUCAGCUCGUGUCGUGAGAUGUUGGGUUAAGUCCCGCAACGAGCGCAACCCUUGUUCACUGUUGCCAGCACGUUAUGGUGGGGACUCAGUGGAGACCGCCGGGGUCAACUCGGAGGAAGGUGGGGAUGACGUCAAGUCAUCAUGCCCCUUAUGUCCAGGGCUUCACGCAUGCUACAAUGGCUGGUACAGAGAGUGGCGAGCCUGUGAGGGUGAGCGAAUCUCGGAAAGCCGGUCUCAGUUCGGAUUGGGGUCUGCAACUCGACCUCAUGAAGUCGGAGUCGCUAGUAAUCGCAGAUCAGCAACGCUGCGGUGAAUACGUUCCCGGGGCU